GAUGAAGAACGCAGCGAAAUGCGAUAAGUAGUGUGAAUUGCAGAAUUCAGUGAAUCAUCGAAUCUUUGAACGCACAUUGCGCCCUUUGGUAUUCCAAAGGGCAUGCCUGUUCGAGCGUCAUUUGUACCCUCAAGCUUUGCUUGGUGUUGGGCGUCUUGUCUCUAGCUUUGCUGGAGACUCGCCUUAAAGUAAUUGGCAGCCGGCCUACUGGUUUCGGAGCGCAGCACAAGUCGCACUCUCUAUCAGCAAAGGUCUAGCAUCCAUUAAGCCUUUUUUUCAACUUUUGACCUCGGAUCAGGUAGGGAUACUCGCUGAACUUAAGCAUAUCAAUAAGCGGAGGA
RNAcentral lists this unclassified non-coding RNA (341 nucleotides) under soil metagenome. RNAcentral's name for it is "partial contains 5.8S ribosomal RNA, internal transcribed spacer 2, and large subunit ribosomal RNA". The stretch from base 1 to 120 matches the Rfam family "5.8S ribosomal RNA", at positions 35 to 154 of the family's 154-position model. The record is from RNAcentral.